This 107-nucleotide ribosomal RNA is filed under the name Justicia gendarussa. Its description in RNAcentral is "partial 5.8S ribosomal RNA". It matches the Rfam family "5.8S ribosomal RNA", at positions 53 to 154 of the family's 154-position model. From Rfam's summary of the family: 5.8S ribosomal RNA (5.8S rRNA) is a component of the large subunit of the eukaryotic ribosome. It is transcribed by RNA polymerase I as part of the 45S precursor that also contains 18S and 28S rRNA. The record is from RNAcentral. Lineage: Eukaryota; Viridiplantae; Streptophyta; Magnoliopsida; Lamiales; Acanthaceae.
UUGCGAUACUUGGUGUGAAUUGCAGAAUCCCGUGAACCAUCGAGUCUUUGAACGCAAGUUGCGCCCGAAGCCUUCGGGCCGAGGGCACGCCUGCCUGGGCGUCACGC